GUGGCGGACGGGUGAGUAACGCGUGGGAAUCUGCCCUCAGGAGGGGGAUAACGGCCGGAAACGGCCGCUAAUACCCCAUAUGCCGAGAGGUGAAAUGAGUUUCGCCUGAGGAUGAGCCCGCGUCUGAUUAGCUAGUUGGUGUGGUAAUGGCGCACCAAGGCUUCGAUCAGUAGCUGGUCUGAGAGGAUGAUCAGCCACACUGGGACUGAGACACGGCCCAGACUCCUACGGGAGGCAGCAGUGGGGAAUUUUCCGCAAUGGGCGCAAGCCUGACGGAGCAACGCCGCGUGAGGGACGAAGGCCUCUGGGCUGUAAACCUCUUUUCUCAAGGAAGAAGACAUGACGGUACUUGAGGAAUAAGCCACGGCUAAUUCCGUGCCAGCAGCCGCGGUAAUACGGGAGUGGCAAGCGUUAUCCGGAAUUAUUGGGCGUAAAGCGUCCGCAGGCGGCCCAGCAAGUCUGUUGUUAAAAAGUGGAGCUUAACUCCAUCCAGGCAAUGGAAACUGCUGGGCUAGAGUGUGGUAGGGGCAGAGGGAAUUCCCGGUGUAGCGGUGAAAUGCGUAGAUAUCGGGAAGAACACCAGUGGCGAAGGCGCUCUGCUGGGCCAUAACUGACGCUCAUGGACGAAAGCCAGGGGAGCGAAAGGGAUUAGAUACCCCUGUAGUCCUGGCCGUAAACGAUGAACACUAGGUGUCGGGGGAAUCGACCCCCUCGGUGUCGUAGCCAACGCGUUAAGUGUUCCGCCUGGGGAGUACGCACGCAAGUGUGAAACUCAAAGGAAUUGACGGGGGCCCGCACAAGCGGUGGAGUAUGUGGUUUAAUUCGAUGCAACGCGAAGAACCUUACCAGGGUUUGACAUCCUGCGAAUCCCUUGGAAACUUGGGAGUGCCUUCGGGAGCGCAGUGACAGGUGGUGCAUGGCUGUCGUCAGCUCGUGUCGUGAGAUGUUGGGUUAAGUCCCGCAACGAGCGCAACCCACGUCUUUAGUUGCCAGCAUUUAGUUGGGCACUCUAGAGAGACCGCCGGUGAUAAACCGGAGGAAGGUGUGGAUGACGUCAAGUCAUCAUGCCCCUUACAUCCUGGGCUACACACGUACUACAAUGCUACGGACAAAGGGCAGCAAACUCGCGAGAGCUAGCAAAUCCCAUAAACCGUGGCUCAGUUCAGAUCGUAGGCUGCAACUCGCCUACGUGAAGGAGGAAUCGCUAGUAAUCGCAGGUCAGCAUACUGCGGUGAAUACGUUCCCGGGCCUUGUACACACCGCCCGUCACACCAUGGAAGUUGGCCAUGCCCGAAGUCGUUACUCCAACCCGUAAGGGAGGAGGACGCCGAAGGUGGGGCUGAUGACUGGGGUGAAGUCGUAACAA
This is a ribosomal RNA of 1366 nucleotides. It matches the Rfam family "Bacterial small subunit ribosomal RNA".